RNAcentral lists this transfer RNA (88 nucleotides) under Pyrobaculum neutrophilum V24Sta. RNAcentral describes it as "tRNA-Ser (CGA) (tRNA-Ser-CGA-1-1)". It matches the Rfam family "tRNA". From Rfam's summary of the family: Transfer RNA (tRNA) molecules are approximately 80 nucleotides in length. The record is from RNAcentral. Lineage: Archaea; Thermoproteati; Thermoproteota; Thermoprotei; Thermoproteales; Thermoproteaceae. RNAcentral also lists the same sequence under 1 other name.
GCCGGGGUGGCCGAGCGGCCCAAGGCGCGGGACUCGAGAUCCCGUCCCCGUCAAGGGGGCGUGGGUUCAAAUCCCACCCCCGGCGCCA